This 307-nucleotide long non-coding RNA is filed under the name Brassica napus (rape). RNAcentral describes it as "long non-coding RNA (BNAP_LNC026788)". Lineage: Eukaryota; Viridiplantae; Streptophyta; Magnoliopsida; Brassicales; Brassicaceae. The record is from RNAcentral.
AGUGUCCAUGGUUAAUAGACCUUCCAGGUCGACUACUUUGGUGAUGGAUUCUACAACAUGCGCCGGCCAUCGCAUAAAUUUUUGGAGGCUCGAAAUAUUUAUUUACUGAUCAUGCAAAAAUUACAUGUUUUUUCUGUAUUUUUUUAUCAUUUAACUACUUCAGGUUAAACAUAUUUAAUUUCGGAGUUUUCUAUUGAUGUGAGCUCAAAAAGAUACGUUCAGUUUGAUGAGAUAUAUAAUCAAAUUAACUAUGUUUAAACCUUGCAACAUAUAUAUUAUAUAUUAUUUGAGAAGUAAAUUUGCUUAU